GAAAAACAGAGAGAGAAUAAUAUAUCCUGAAACUGGGAGUUUCUGCUCUGGUUGUGAGUCAUCUCAUAUGGCUGAUGGAAACUAAAUUUGAAGCAUUUGCAAAACCAAUUUCAUCACAAACUAAAUGCUACCUGAAGAAACUACAAACUAAAUAGCUAACUGGAGAAAUCUUCCUCUCCUACUUGGGAAGUCCAAGAGUCUGAAAUCAAAAUGUUGACAGGAUCGUGCUUUCUCCAAUGGACUAGAGGAGGAUCUCUCAGUUGUUUUAAUAUUCCUGCAAACUGGGCAGCUAGCUUCUGGGACUUGCCUGUCUCCAGUACCCAGCUUUGGAUUUAUAGAUUCAGAUGUAUUCACAAGUGAUCGGGAGCCACUGGAUGCAGUUAGUCACUGGGAGAAGAUCUUGCUGACCAAUAGACUACCCACUCCCCACUUCCUUC
Molecule: long non-coding RNA, 437 nt
Organism: Alexandromys fortis (reed vole)
Lineage: Eukaryota; Metazoa; Chordata; Mammalia; Rodentia; Cricetidae
Exons: 4
Source: RefSeq, a predicted model, not a curated record